This 623-nucleotide transfer RNA is filed under the name Bartonella tribocorum. RNAcentral's name for it is "partial 16S-23S ribosomal RNA intergenic spacer". The stretch from base 189 to 262 matches the Rfam family "tRNA". Lineage: Bacteria; Pseudomonadati; Pseudomonadota; Alphaproteobacteria; Hyphomicrobiales; Bartonellaceae. The record is from RNAcentral.
CAUACCUUCUGGCGAUCUCUUAAAAUAAAGCCUGAUCUGUUUUUAAUAAACAGGAUGUUUAGACAUAUGUUUAAAUUCUUAUGGAUCUUAAAGGUCAUAAAUUAAAGAAAGGCUUUAUGAAGAAAGCACUUUAAGCUUUUCCAAYGAUUUAAGAUGAUACCGGGGAAGGUUUUCCGGUUUAUCCCGGAGGGCUUGUAGCUCAGUUGGUUAGAGCGCGCGCUUGAUAAGCGUGAGGUCGGAGGUUCAAGUCCUCCCAGGCCCACCAAUUUAUGCUCGUUUUUUGCUUAUCCAAGAGUAUGGAGCUUAAGCGCAUUAAAGUCUCUUUUAAUCUUUGUUUAAAGUUUAAAGAUUUAAUUUUAUCAUUCAGAGAUUGUUUGUUAAAUUUAUUCCAUUAAGUUUGUCAAAGAGGAAGUUUGUCAAAGGGGAUUUUUAAAUCCCUUCAUUUUGAAAUUCCUUCAAGGUAUAGGCAAGUUUAAAUGAUCCAAAUCAAAAUAGUACAAGUCAAAAUAGUGCAAAUUAAAGUAGUGCAGGCAAUUCAAGUUGAUAAAUUUUCUUGAGGUUGAUUUGAGAGAGUAUUAUUUAGGGGCCGUAGCUCAGCUGGGAGAGCACCUGCUUUGAAGAGG